Long non-coding RNA from Bolinopsis microptera, 236 nucleotides. RefSeq lists it as uncharacterized. NCBI's taxonomy places the organism in Eukaryota, Metazoa, Ctenophora, Tentaculata, Lobata, Bolinopsidae. The record is from RefSeq and is a predicted model, not a curated record. The transcript has 3 exons.
UGUACCCUCCAAUGCUCGUAUUGGAGACACUCACUUAGAUUUCCUCGCCGUCAAAGGGAGAAAUUGUAGCGAGUACAAGUUACUGAACUGCACCUUCGAAAAUGUUGCUCUUGGUGAAAAGGAUACGUGUGACGGGAUUACAGCUCAUUGCAAGCUUAAAUCUCUUUCCAAGACUACAUACUGGAUAAACGACACAAGGUCGGACUGCAAGCUAAAUAAGAUAAGCAACCGUACCC